AUGAAACAAGACGCCCCCACACGCGAACAGAUCCCCACCUGUGGCCGCAAAUCGGCGGCGAGCGGCGCGUCAGUGCAGCUCCGCGUGCGGCACUGCAUCACCGGCGGCGAGCGGCACUCCAUUGCAACUCCGUCAGGCGGCGAGCGGGGCUUCAGUGCAGCUCCGCGUGCCGCACUCAAUCACCGGCGGCGAGCGGCACUCCAUUGCAACUCCGUCGGCGGCGAGCGGCGCUUCAGUGCAGCUCGCGGAGCUGCACUGCAUCACCGGCGGCGAGCGGCAGUCCAUUGCAACUCCGUCGGCGGCAAGCGGCGCUUCAGUGCAGCUCCGCGAGCUGCACUGCAUCGCCGGCGCCGAGCGGCGUUCGACUGCACUCCGGCCUUCGUCUUGCACUGCAAUACCGGCAGCGAGCAGCCCAUGCGUGCUGCAUUGCAGCACCGUCGUCGACGAGAGUCGCGUUUCAACGACGGCAGCACCGUCGAGUCGUUGGGCCGCAAACACCUGCAGCAUCCGAGUCAACGACGAGGGCCGCGUUACCGCGUCACGACGCCGUGGUAUGGAUCUUGA
RNAcentral lists this ribosomal RNA (564 nucleotides) under Triticum aestivum (bread wheat). RNAcentral describes it as "partial small subunit ribosomal RNA". Lineage: Eukaryota; Viridiplantae; Streptophyta; Magnoliopsida; Poales; Poaceae. The record is from RNAcentral.